CCUACGGGCGGCAGCAGUGGGGAAUAUUGGACAAUGGGCGAAAGCCUGAUCCAGCCAUGCCGCGUGUGUGAAGAAGGCCUUCGGGUUGUAAAGCACUUUCAGUGGGGAAGAAAGCCUUGGGGCUAAUACCCUCGAGGAAGGACAUCACCCACAGAAGAAGCACCGGCUAACUCCGUGCCAGCAGCCGCGGUAAUACGGAGGGUGCGAGCGUUAAUCGGAAUUACUGGGCGUAAAGCGCGCGUAGGCGGUCUGAUAAGCCGGUUGUGAAAGCCCCGGGCUCAACCUGGGAACGGCAUCCGGAACUAUCAGGCUAGAGUGCAGGAGAGGAAGGUAGAAUUCCCGGUGUAGCGGUGAAAUGCGUAGAGAUCGGGAGGAAUACCAGUGGCGAAGGCGGCCUUCUGGACUGACACUGACGCUGAGGUGCGAAAGCGUGGGUAGCAAACAGGAUUAGAUACCCUUGUAGUC
RNAcentral lists this ribosomal RNA (465 nucleotides) under Vreelandella stevensii. RNAcentral describes it as "partial 16S ribosomal RNA". It matches the Rfam family "Bacterial small subunit ribosomal RNA", at positions 338 to 795 of the family's 1533-position model. The record is from RNAcentral. Lineage: Bacteria; Pseudomonadati; Pseudomonadota; Gammaproteobacteria; Oceanospirillales; Halomonadaceae.